This 1311-nucleotide ribosomal RNA is filed under the name Trapezia formosa. RNAcentral describes it as "16S ribosomal RNA". The stretch from base 619 to 1311 matches the Rfam family "Archaeal large subunit ribosomal RNA", at positions 1423 to 2788 of the family's 2987-position model. Lineage: Eukaryota; Metazoa; Arthropoda; Malacostraca; Decapoda; Trapeziidae. The record is from RNAcentral.
GUUUUUAAAAGUUGCUUAUAAAUUAAUUGGUGAAAAAUAGAAAAAAUAAAAAAGGUAAUUAAGAUAAAAAUUAGUAAUGUUUAAUAAAUGUUUUGUUUGGCUAUAGACAAAAAGUACUGUAAGGGAAAUCUAAAAAUAAAUAAAUUUUUAUAGUAAUUGUUAAUAAAUGUACCUUGUGUAUCAUGGAAAAUUUAAAUAAUUUAAGGAUUUUUAAAAGUCUCGAAGUAAAUAAUAGUUAACUUAAUAAAAAAGUUUAUGUUGCAAAAUGAAAUUUUAAUAUAAAGUUAAAGGUGAAAUGUUCGACGAGUUUUAUUGUAUCUGGUUUCUUAAGAAAUAAAUAUAAUUUGUAAUUUGGACUUUAAAAGUUUAAAAUUUAGGAGCAGGAGGGUUAAGCUUCUUGUUCAAUAAAUUCGUUAUAAUAGUUUUAUAAAUUAUAAAAAUAAUCUAAGCUUAGAAGUAGCUACGAUAGCAAAGUGUUUAAAAUGAGUUAAAAAUUAGGAUUAUAUAACUUUAAAUAGUAUUAAGAUAUUUGAGUAACAAGAAAAAAAAAGUAACUCUGAUUUUAUAAGUAGAGAAUAAUAUUAUAAUAAAAUAAUAGAAUAAAAAUUUGAUUAUAAGUUAAUAUGGUGAUAAUUAGAGGAAUUCGGCAAAUAUAAUUUCUUGCCUGUUUAUCAAAAACAUGUCUAUUACGGAGUUAUUAAUAGUCUGGCCUGCUCCCUGACUAUAAAGUUAAAGAGCCGCGGUAAUUUGACCGUGCAAAGGUAGCAUAAUCAUUAGUUUCUUAAUUGGGAACUUGUAUGAAAGGUUUGACAAAGAAAAAGCUGUCUUUAUUAUGAGUGUUGAACUUAACUUUUAAGUGAAAAGGCUUAAAUAAUUUAGAGGGACGAUAAGACCCUAUAAAACUUUAUAUAAAAGAUAAUUAAAACUGAGUUUAUAAUAAAAGUUUAAAUUAGUUAUUAUAUUUUAUUGGGGUGAUAUUAAUAAAAAUAAUAUUAACUGUUAAAAAGGAAUACGUAAAUAAAAGAGUUAAAUUGUUGAUGAUCCUUAUUUAAAGAUUAAAAGAUUAAGUUACUUUAGGGAUAACAGCGUAAUUUUUCUUAAGAGUUCAUAUCGAAAGAAAAGAUUUCGACCUCGAUGUUGAAUUAAGAUAUCUGUGUAAAGCAGCUAUUACAUAAGAAGGUCUGUUCGACCUUUAAACUUUUACAUGAUUUGAGUUCAGACCGGCGCGAGCCAGGUCGGUUUCUAUCUUCUAAAGAAUGAAUAAACCGUUUUAGUACGAAAGGAUUUAAUGGUUUUAAAAAUUAAAAAGCU